UGCAAUAUACUAAUUAUAUUGUUAUAAGAUCAACAUUAAUUAGUAGCCAGUCUUCCAACUUCCCCUUUCCAAAUUCUCUUCCAUUCCUAUGCAACGGACCAACCGAGGAACGGAGGAAGCCAAUUCACAUCAGCACCGCCUCCAACCGCUGUAAUUCCACUCUACGGCCAGCGUCAAGGCCAUACAGUCGUCCCCUGUCCACCACCAAAAAGGGUUUUGUUGACUUCCUUUUUGGGACACUGGAAAGUAUUACAUGAAAAUUCAUUCCUUAAUGUAGUCGGCAAUUGAUUAUCAAUACUAUUUGCUUCAGCUUCAGGUACCCUCAUUCUCUAUCUUCUAGUCUCUUCUAAUUUAACCAUUAUUUUUGUUAAAAUAGUUUCACAAAAUGAAGUUAAGUUCUGUUUAAUAUUAGUGGAGUGCUUUGUUUUUUAGCGAGCAGAUUGAAUUAUGUUGAAGUUUCAGUAUUUUUUCAUUUAUUGGUGUUAACAAUUGGUGAUGAAUAUUUAGUUGUCAACAUUUGAGGUUUUAUUAAACAGUAUAAACAAGUAAAUUUGCAGCUGCAAGGGGUCAAAUCCUACUCUGGAAAAUGGUUUUUGUGGGUGUAGGCAAGGAAAUGCUCAAUUAUGGUUUCGAAUUGGCGG
Molecule: long non-coding RNA, 641 nt
Filed under: Panax ginseng (ginseng)
Lineage: Eukaryota; Viridiplantae; Streptophyta; Magnoliopsida; Apiales; Araliaceae
Description: long non-coding RNA (PGIN_LNC009224)
Source: RNAcentral